UAGGGUGUAGCUCAUGGUAGAGCACUUGACUAGCAUGUGUAAGAUCCUGGGUUCCAUCCCCAGCAUUCCAA
This 71-nucleotide transfer RNA is filed under the name Ictidomys tridecemlineatus (thirteen-lined ground squirrel). Its description in RNAcentral is "Spermophilus tridecemlineatus (thirteen-lined ground squirrel) tRNA". It matches the Rfam family "tRNA". Rfam says of the family: Transfer RNA (tRNA) molecules are approximately 80 nucleotides in length. Their secondary structure includes four short double-helical elements and three loops (D, anti-codon, and T loops). Lineage: Eukaryota; Metazoa; Chordata; Mammalia; Rodentia; Sciuridae. The record is from Rfam by way of RNAcentral.